This 235-nucleotide unclassified non-coding RNA is filed under the name plant metagenome. Its description in RNAcentral is "partial contains small subunit ribosomal RNA, internal transcribed spacer 1, and 5.8S ribosomal RNA". The record is from RNAcentral.
UUUCCGUAGGUGAACCUGCGGAAGGAUCAUUACCGAGUGAGGGCCCUCUGGGUCCAACCUCCCACCCGUGUUUAUUCUACCUUGUUGCUUUGGCGGGCCCGCCUCACGGCCGCCGGGGGGCUUCUGCCCCCGGGCCCGUGCCCGCCGAAGACACCUUAGAACUCUGUCUGAAGAUUGUAGUCUGAGUAAAAAUAUGAAUUAUUUAAAACUUUCAACAACGGAUCUCUUGGUUCCG